CUAUAAUCGCGUAAGCGGUGUCUACGCCAAUUAAGAAGAAGAAGAGUUAUGUUAUUAUGACUCACAAACGAUAGCAAAUCUUCCACUUUUGUGGGAUGAUGCCUUUCUCUCUUGCCAUAUCCUAAAAUUAUCCACCGUCGUUUUAAGAUUCCAAUGCUUUGUUCAACGAUACAUCUACAAAGAACAUUUUGUUAACCUUCCUAUACCCGCGCACAUGUCUGUAAGACCGACGAAACACUUUUAGCUCGCGCGUUCUGCUAGCUGCAUGAUUUGCGGCUCGCUUUAGGUUAGUACGUGGCACGCAGUAGUGCGAGCAGGAAUUGUAGGGCUUACUACGGUCUGAUCGGUUUGUGACACCGACGCGUGUAUGCGAUCAACUUUUUACAUGUAUCGUUGAACAAAUCAUUGGAAUCUUAAAAAGACGGUGGAGAAUUUUAGGAUACGGCAAGAGAGAAAGGUAUCACCACGGUAGAGGAGGAGUAAGGUCACUAUCAGCUGAUGUUAUGUAAACAAAGGCACAGCUGAGAGGUGCCACUGUAGAAACACAAGUGUAGUCCGGGGUUGAGUUUCUAUUGGAAUCCAAGAUGGCCGACUUUUAACCAAGAUGGCUGACUUUUAACCGGAAAAUGGUUGCAUUGCGUUAUUUUCUUAAAAUUUAUGGAAAAGUUGUCCCAAAAAUAUUGGUUAUAUAUAAAAGUUUAAUAUAUUUUCUAAAGAAAAUCGUUUUAUUUUAAUAUAUAUUCUUAAAGAUGAGAACAAUAUGAGCAAAUACGUGAAAAAUUAAGUUUUUUAUUUAUGCCUCUUUUUAACUUACCACAGUAAUAAAUGUUCACCACAGAAAAAUGUUACGAACAAAUAAGCAACCAUGCCGAAUAGUGGGGUCCAGAUUAUGCUCAUUCACAGCCAUAUUUACAUUUUUGCAUCGUAACGAAGGUUUUUGCAAGACAAUUUGUUUGAGUUUAUUUCAUGGUUAAAUGAUUUACGAUGGUUUAUUUAGUUAUUUGAAUCUGGAAGAAGUGUGCAAAUUUCCCUUGAGACAAUCAAUAACAGAUCGAGUUGGGAUUUUAUUCCAAUAAAAAUACGGAAUAACUAAACAUGGCCUCGUUAAUAUUGCUGCGUAAUGGGUCAGGCGCUGUUCCAAUUUUAUGAUUUAAUAGAUUAAAAAGCGAUACGCGAUGCUGUGAAGUACUCAAAUGUAGUUCUCAAAUUUGUUGGUCGUGAAUUCGAGACAAAAUUUUAAGCUCAAUGACGUGCUCGUGGAAGGUGCACGUCGCAUUGCUAGAAUCAGCAAAGGAGCUGGUGUAGAACGCUAGUCCCAAACCAAUGAGCUUUGUGCUUGGUGGAAGCAACUUUUUGAGGAGCAAAUACUACGGUGAGCACAUUCGGAUGUUGCACAAGCUAUUGUCAAUUGCGCUAAGGAUCUCGAUACUGCUGGUCAGGUUUAUCAAGCUGUUGGAUCAAAGCGUUACCAGUUGAACGAAUUAAUUGAAACCAGUCAAUCGUGUUAUGCGCAAAAAUUAAAAAUGCGUUGUAUCCUACCUUCCUAUUGAAAGCCAAGUCGUUUGGAUGUACAAUUGACCUCCAUGGAAGAGCAAAUACCAUGGAAAUUGCGACCUUAUCGGGCUGCGCAAUAUUAUGAUGCCGAAUUGGGAUAGUGGAAGGAACCAGCUCCACCAAAAUCGAUAGAAGAACUACGUAUGUUUGCAUAAAACUACUAUAAUGGCAACAACGCUAACAACAACAACCAAGCAAAUAUUAAACAACACUCAUCAAAUGAAAGUUGGUGGCGUUGGUGGCCACACAGCGAUUUAAAAAGAAAUAUUUGCAUCUAUGCGAAUUCGUCUUUGCAUCUAGUGAAUUAUGAAUAUGAAAGUAUAUAACUUAUCGCAGUUAUUUGUUUUUAUUAUUGCAUUUAGUUUUACUUUGUGAACAGCAAAACUGGCGGACCCUUUUUCUACCGAUUUUAUAAUUAUAACCCCAAAUAAAAAGUAAAUUGUAACUAAAUGUUUUAUUUCAGUAGAUUUUAUUUAUUGUUUCUUUUUUUUUACAUAUUUUUGUGCCUAUGUUGCAUUUUCCACACCACCAUGAGGUAUGCAACUAGGCGCGUUACCGAUUUUUUUUGGGUGUUCGGUUCCCCCGGAGGCCUAUU
Molecule: long non-coding RNA, 2149 nt
Organism: Bactrocera tryoni
Lineage: Eukaryota; Metazoa; Arthropoda; Insecta; Diptera; Tephritidae
Exons: 5
Source: RefSeq, a predicted model, not a curated record